GCAGAGCAUCCUACGGGAGGCAGCAGUGGGGGAAUAUUGCACAAUGGGCGCAAGCCUGAUGCAGCCAUGCCGCGUGUAUGAAGAAGGCCUUCGGGUUGUAAAGUACUUUCAGCAGUGAGGAAGGUGGAUAUGUUAAUAGCAUAUUCAUUUGACGUUAGCUGCAGAAGAAGCACCGGCUAACUCCGUGCCAGCAGCCGCGGUAAUACGGAGGGUGCGAGCGUUAAUCGGAAUUACUGGGCGUAAAGCGCAUGCAGGUGGUUUGUUAAGUCAGAUGUGAAAGCCCGGGGCUCAACCUCGGAAUUGCAUUUGAAACUGGCAAACUAGAGUACUGUAGAGGGGGUAGAAUUUCAGGUGUAGCGGUGAAAUGCGUAGAGAUCUGAAGGAAUACCGGUGGCGAAGGCGGCCCCCUGGACAGAUACUGACACUCAGAUGCGAAAGCGUGGGGAGCAAACAGGAUUAGAUACCCUGGUAG
RNAcentral lists this ribosomal RNA (472 nucleotides) under uncultured bacterium. RNAcentral describes it as "bacterial SSU rRNA". It matches the Rfam family "Bacterial small subunit ribosomal RNA", at positions 329 to 793 of the family's 1533-position model. The record is from RNAcentral.